Dendronephthya gigantea is the source of this 234-nucleotide long non-coding RNA. RefSeq lists it as uncharacterized. The transcript has 3 exons. The record is from RefSeq and is a predicted model, not a curated record. NCBI's taxonomy places the organism in Eukaryota, Metazoa, Cnidaria, Anthozoa, Malacalcyonacea, Nephtheidae.
UGAGUGAUUGACAGUCAGUUGGAAAGACUACGUGGACGAUGCGGUGGCAAGGAAAUUCGCUCUUCGUUGAGAGAAAAGAAAUCCAGGCUGAAACCCGUCGACGAAAGCUGGAUUCAAUGGUCGUGAAUUGUACCUUGUGAUGAUGGAGAAAUGUUACCAUUUUGCAUGCAAAUAGAAAAUCUAAAAUGAAAUUCAAACCACACAUUUUAUAAAAUCAAAAUAAACCAGAUAUUU